Molecule: ribosomal RNA, 460 nt
Filed under: uncultured bacterium
Lineage: Bacteria
Description: partial 16S ribosomal RNA
Rfam family: Bacterial small subunit ribosomal RNA
Source: RNAcentral
CCUACGGGAGGCAGCAGUGAGGAAUAUUGGUCAAUGGACGAGAGUCUGAACCAGCCAAGUAGCGUGAAGGAUGACUGCCCUAUGGGUUGUAAACUUCUUUUAUAUGGGAAUAAAACGUUCCAUGCAUGGGCUCUUGUAUGUACCAUAUGAAUAAGGAUCGGCUAACUCCGUGCCAGCAGCCGCGGUAAUACGGAGGAUCCGAGCGUUAUCCGGAUUUAUUGGGUUUAAAGGGAGCGUAGGUGGAUUGUUAAGUCAGUUGUGAAAGUUUGCGGCUCAACCGUAAAAUUGCAGUUGAAACUGGCAGUCUUGAGUACAGUAGAGGUGGGCGGAAUUCGUGGUGUAGCGGUGAAAUGCUUAGAUAUCACGAAGAACUCCGAUUGCGAAGGCAGCUUACUAGACUGCCACUGACAUUGAUGCUCGAAAGUGUGGGUAUCAAACAGGAUUAGAUACCCUAGUAGUC